GAGAGACAGCAUGUAAUUUUCAGCUGUGGUUGUUUCACACUUUUUUUGGGUCUUUCAUCAGAUCUGUCAGCAAGAGUUGGGCUGAUGUAAAGCUCUUAGGAUUGUUUUUUUUUUUUUGUGCUCCGAGUGGACGAGAUCAGUGAUGAGAACCUGUUAGAGUUCCGUGGAGAUGGAUGAUGUAACCUGUUGUCACGGAGCCGCAGCACGACACUCUGAUCCUCUGCGCCAAGAGCUGACACGCAGACAGCAAAGGAAUAUAACGCAAUCCAGGACUCUGGAGGAAACUUCGGCCCACAGAACAUGUUCUCUCUCUACCCUGCUCUCUGUCUCUCUCUCAACAUUAUUUUAUUUAUGAUUAUAUUGUAUUGAUAUGAAACACAUUUUCUGUUCAAACAAAAGUAUUAUCACUGUGUUUUUGAAACAUUUAAUGUCGAAUGGGAAGAUUAUAUUAUUGGCAUUUGAAAGCUAUACUCAAAAAAAAAAAAAGUAAACAUUUUACCAACAUUUUGGUAACAGUUCAUUAAGAAUUAUUGUCUAUUUUGUGAAUAAAAUUGAUCAGGACAUAAACUCAAACCUGCAUCAAACUUAUGUCAGGUAAUAUGUCACUUACCAGCGUAAAUUGCUGAUUAAACAUUGUGAUCUAAUAUAAAUACACACAAAUCUGUGGUUUCGCCCUGUGAAAAUAUAUAUAUGUGUAUGUGUGUAUGUGUGUGUGUAGAGAUGUGUCAUCUGUGUGUGUGCAGAGCUGGUGUGAAUGACGCCGUGAGGCUGCACUAGCGGCCACAAGAGAGAAAUGAGACUGACAGAAUGCGAGACAGAGAUUAUUAACACCAGAGUUCUGCCUGAACUAAAGUGCCCCUACGAUUCUCCGGUGCAGCCAAGACUAUUUGGUGCGGAUGCAAGGAGGUUACCAGGUGUUCUACGCGUUUUCUUGCAGGUGUAAAUUAAAGAAGCCCUUUAUUUUAUUUUUUUUAAAUUAUGAUUUAAUUUAUUUCUGCUUAUAUUUCACACUUUUAUUUUAUUUCUGUUUUAAGUGAUUAGAAUGCACAGUUUCAUAUUCUAACAUUUGUCAUAAAUAUACAGUGGUGACCAAAAUUGUUAGAACACUUGGCAUAUUUAAGAGGUUUUAGUUGUUUUUGUUGAAUUGGCCAUUACAAAACCCUUAAAACAAACUAUUGCAAGAACCACCUGCGACGGAUGGAAUAUGCUGGAACACUGGAAAUGAUGGACUGGCCCCCUCAAAGUCCGCACAUCAGCCUCAUCGAGCAAAUUGGGGGCGAUUUGGAAAAUAAACUGGACAGAUCUAUUGUCCAUUCAAGCCUUUGGCUUGAGUUGCAGACGG
This is a long non-coding RNA of Carassius carassius (crucian carp), 1342 nucleotides long. RefSeq lists it as uncharacterized. The transcript is spliced from 3 exons. The record is from RefSeq and is a predicted model, not a curated record. Lineage: Eukaryota; Metazoa; Chordata; Actinopteri; Cypriniformes; Cyprinidae.